RNAcentral lists this ribosomal RNA (369 nucleotides) under Florenciella parvula. Its description in RNAcentral is "partial Bacterial large subunit ribosomal RNA". It matches the Rfam family "Bacterial large subunit ribosomal RNA", at positions 1662 to 2024 of the family's 2925-position model. The record is from RNAcentral. Lineage: Eukaryota; Dictyochophyceae; Florenciellales.
GGUGGUCAGGAUGAGAAAUCUAAGGCGGACAGGCUAACUCUCGUUAAGGAACUCUGCAAAAUUGCCCCGUAACUUCGGGAGAAGGGGUGCCCCUGAGUGUGAGCAUACACGCGAUGUUAAGCGCUUGGGGGUCGCAGUGAAGAGGCUCAAGCAACUGUUUAACAAAAACACAGGUCUAUGCUAAGCUGUAAGGCGAUGUAUAUGGGCUGACACCUGCCCAGUGCCGGAAGGUUAAGAGGAGGAGUGAGAGCUCCGAAUUGAAGCCCCGGUGAACGGCGGCCGUAACUAUAACGGUCCUAAGGUAGCGAAAUUCCUUGUCGGGUAAGUUCCACCCGCACGAAAGGCGUAACGAUUUGGAUACUGUCUCGG